Long non-coding RNA from Triplophysa rosa, 5801 nucleotides. RefSeq lists it as uncharacterized. NCBI's taxonomy places the organism in Eukaryota, Metazoa, Chordata, Actinopteri, Cypriniformes, Nemacheilidae. The record is from RefSeq and is a predicted model, not a curated record. The transcript has 3 exons.
GUCAGAAACGUCUCUGCUGUGUCCUGCUGGCACCACGCAACAGGAGCAGCAGGUGACGCAAAUCACGCAAUUAGGAAAUCCUCCGCGAGGCUAGACCGUCUCCUUUCAGUUCGCUUCUUGAACUUUUGAGGCUGCGUGUGUGCUGUGAAAACCAAGUCCUCGUUUUUAAGUCCGCGACCUUAAAGGUUGCAGCCCCUGAAUUGGGACACAGCUGUUAUCGGCAUGGCGUUUUCUAAAUGGAGAGAGCUUCGCGACCAACUUGGAUUCGACAGAGACUUCGCUCUCGCAUGUGUUUUAAUAGACAGCUUACGACGCUGUCACGUGAUGAACGAAGAAGUCAAACCCGAGGACUUGUCAGAUAAGAGGUGUGGUGAGCUAAUCAUAGACUUAAGACCCAGGUAAACUAUGAAUUAAUCUUUUCUGUUUCUUAUAGCAUUAUAGUUUUGUAUUGUUUGUAAUGUGAUCAACGUUUGCAUAAGUAGUAGAUGUGUUAGGAAAGUAACAUGUAACAUUUUAAUUAUAUUUUGCUAAAAUGAACGAAAUGAACGAUAUGACUCGAAAAAAGAUUCGUUCAUUUUGCUGAACGAGACUCAAAGAUCCCAGUCAGUAAAAUGAUCCGAACUUCCCAUCACUACUACAUAACGUCAUUUAGCUUCGCCUUUUGUUGUCGUUUCGAAAGUGCGCCAUCCAGCGGUCCAAAUAUUCUAUAUUGUGGCUUUAAAGGUACAGUGCGGGAUGUUUUGUAUGAUCUAUUAACAGAAAUUCAAUAUAACAUACAAAUCUGUGUCUUUAGAUCUGUAUAAAAACCUUACGUAAUGAAAAGUUAUGUUUUUAUUACCUUAGAAUAAACCAGUUGUAUCUACAUAUGGAGCGGGCCUAUCUACAUGGAAUUUGUUAUGUUGCGCAGCCAUGUUUUGUACAGUAAGCUCUAACGGACAAACAGCUCUACAGAGCGCGAUUCGUAUAUGUUGGUCUUCUACGUGUUAUUUUUUAGAUGCAGCUUGCGUCAUCACUGAGUUGAAGAUGCACAAAAAAGUAAGUCGUAGUACGGAGAGAAGGAGUAGUCGUCGUCUAGCUGAAGCAAUUGAUUGUUCUGUCUUAGUUUUGAUAAAAUGGAGGACCAUGCGUAUUGUGCACAAGAGCCGACUGGGCGUGAAUCUCCGUCGUCAAAGAAGCGCAAACAUGAUGCUGCCAGACGAAUUAGAGACAAACGGCGGCAGAAAUCCAGGAUAAACAUUGGUGUAUUUAUUACCAGAUGGAAGGCACUGUUGAAAGACAAAUGUUUUCAAAGCGACGCCGAAAUUGCCUGUUUUCUGCUAGACUGGUAAGAUAAUUCAACAUUUUCAAUGUUUUCACUUUUUCAAUGUUUACCAAACAACUGUUUUGUUGAAACGGUAACGUUAGCAUUUUAUACAAAUGGCCAUAUAACCUCCGAAUAAUAAUGUUUUUCCGUCCCUGCGGUACGUACUCCGGUUGUUCCUGACUUUACAAAGGGGGAGACAAACGUCUACUAACUUACACCUAUAUCGCUGUCAGAUCAAACGAUUUGAACAGCGUUGCUAUUUACGAUUAGCUAACUUUAGUUAUUUCACUACUCUCAUCGUGUACUAGAUAGCACGCAAGAAAUAUAUCUAAUUAUAGAAUUGUAACAGUAACUUUCGCAAUAGAAUACAUGUUAAAUGAUUAAUUACGUUACUAUAUUGCCUUACCUUUGUAAAGAAACAUCGUUGCUUGUAUCACUGCUAUCCGCUGUCUCAGUAGACGACAUCUAUUUUUACUGUUGCGGCCACCGUCGUACUUCGAAAGGGAGAUUCGUUGCAAAACUAUAAUACAACGCUAGUGGCCGCUGAUGUUCAAGAACUGCGCCUUUAAAGGGCACGUAUUUUGAAAAAUUCACUUUUAUAAUGUGUUAAAACAUUAAUACGUGUCCACAGUGUCUGUAAACAAGCAGUCUAAACAGUUAAAAAUGUGCUCACUCCUUUUUUAAUAAUUUGCGUAAUUCAAAAACCCUGCUGGUAAAAGCAAAGAUGAAGCAGUAACGUUAAGUAUCACACCUCAUAUUGUUGCUGAUUAGUCUUUCAAAAUUGCCACUCUUAAUGGGCUUGUUAUCGCGCUAUAUUGGUAAUGUUGCUAACAAUAGAAGUACAGCGUCUAACUGUAUUUAUUGACGCUGCCCUCACAUACUGUCGGGCUUAUCGUAAACAAUACGUAAAGUAAGUGUGACAGUACAUGAUAGAACAACGUUGAAAGCGUAAUAUAACCAGUACUCGAGUUGAGGGGGGAUGGCAUCCCCCUUUGAAUUAAAAGAUGGCAUCCCCCUUCCCGUCCCCUGUUAUUUUAUCAAUGAAUGUGUGAAUAUUACCAGUGGUAAUUUACCACUAUUAUUUUUGCGAAUAUUGAAUAGGCUAAAAUACUGUGGACGAGGGGAACGUGCACAUAAUGACACGACGAUUUGUUUUAAAUUUACGUCACAUCAGUCAGCGACAUAGCGGCGCAGGUGCUGGUGCCGGUGAUUUCAGCAUCAUGGCCAAGCCCAAGCGACAUGGACAGCUUGACCUGAGGGACUUCGGCUUUAAGAGGGCAAGAAGUAGCACAGAAGGAGAGCAGUGGUAGCCAUGCCAGCCUGGGGACCAACUCCAAUUCUGAGGUGCCUUGGUCAAGAUCAAUGACAGGAGUAUCUGAUAUGUAAUAUAUCAAUAGCAUGCAUGUUGUUUUAGAGUAAUAUAAUAUAAUAAUUAUCUUUGUGCUUAAACAAUAAUCAAAACAAUUAUGUCAAAACAAACGGAUGCUGCGUUAAUUGCGAUAAAUAUUUUCUCACGCGUUAAUUUGAAAAAAUUAAUCGCAUGCGUUAACGCGUUAACGUUGACAGCCCUAGUAGUAACGCUAAACUAUACCUGCUCGAUCUCCAUGCAGCAUUUAUUAUCAGGCUCUGUAGUCAUUUUACUGCAAUUCCCACACGAGCUCCUGCACAGCGAUUUAUACAUUAUCAUGACGGACCAUGCUAAUGCUUAUCGAUCACUUGAAGAACGUUAAUUUCACAAUAACUGCAAAAUUACAACUAACCAUUCGGAAACGUCCUGUUCAAUUCUUAAGGUUGUCACUUCGUAUGUCUCUCCAUCAGUGUCCGACUCCAGUUCGUACAUAUAGGGCUGGAAACCACUAACAAUUACUGACAUUUUGAUGUUUUGUUUUGGCCGGUACGCAUCAGCACGAGUUCCUGAAACUCCGGGACGAAAAGCUCAUUAACAUUUAAAGAGAUACAAGCAAAAUCGGUGUGUUUUAACACAUACUCAAAAUCGGGCAACUUCAACAUUCUAUAAUAAAUGAUCCGCUGGGUAUUUUGAGUUAAAACUUCACAUACAAACUCUGGGGACACCGGAGACUUAUUUCACAUCUAGUAAAACCAUUCAAACAACCUCUCCUUUAAGACGUUUUAAAUAUUUUUACUAGAAAACGAAACAAAAAUGCUUAGAUAGAAUGUCAUUUUGUGCAGUAUUGCUGUGCUAACUCUGGAAUAGCCUUCCCAAUACUAUUCGAGGGUCAGUCACACUCUCCCAAUUUAAAUCUAGAUUAAAGACGCAUCUUUUUAUCCAAGCUUCCACUUAAUGCAUAGUUAAUGAACAGCAGCUACGCUAAUUAUUCUCUUUCUGCCCCCGCCAGGAGAGAUUCCGCCAGGCCCAGAUGAAUGUCAUAUGCCCAUGCCCAAUUAGAGAUUACGCCGGCUACAUCUGUAAAUCCCUUGCCAUCCCCCUGCAGUCUGACUGACCAUCCCAGCUCCAUCUCAGGCAAUUCCAUCACCACCCAAGAGAAAAGCGACCAUCUGACCAUCCCAGCUCAGACAAUUCCAUCCCCAACCAAGAGCAAAGACGGACUACUUGUCACAUUACUGCUAAAUUUACAAUACUGGGCAUUUAAUGCUAAAUUUACAUCACACGACAGCAGUUAGAAGUUAUAGCUGCACUCAGUGACUUUGAUUGGAGGUUGCUGGGUGGGUGUUUGUGGGGAGUAGGGGGGUCUUGUUGGUUGUGGUUUGGGGGUUUCAUUUGUUGGGGCUGUGUGGGUCUGGUUUGGUCUUGUUUUGUGGUCGAUGUCGGACAACAGGGGAAUAAAGUUAAUUAUGCCAUUACUACUUUUCCCUGGUUGUUCCUCUGUUGUCUGUUGUUGAUCGCGGAAUUGGACCGGGUUGGACCUGCAUGGUUUCGGCGGGUGGGGCUUCCUGGGUCGCUGCUCGUGGGCUCUCCCUGUUCUUCGUGGACGUUGCUCGGUGGCUUUGGUCGGGGUCACUGAGUGCAGCUAUGACACGUCAGAGGAGAUCUGGCCCUCCCGGCUGAGCCUGGUUUCUCCCGAGGUUUUUUUUUCUCCAUUAUUCAGCAUUGGAGUUUGGGUUCCUCGCCACAGCAGAGCAGUGCAGUGUUGGCUUGCUCACCGGGAGACUGCAUUUAUUUAUUUAUUUAUUCAUUUAUUUAUUAGAUAUUAUUUAUUAUAAUGAUCUUGCUUGGUCUAUAAACACCAUGCACUGUGCUGUGUUUUACCUUUCUGUGUUUUUCUUAUUUGCUCCUGUAAAGCUGCUUUGGAACAAUGCACAUUGUGAAAAGCGCUAUAUAAAUAAAAUUGAAUUGAAUUGAAUUAAAGCUGCUUUGGAACAAUGCACAUUGUGAGUCUCUUCUUGCUAAUUUUAAAUCUCAAAGUGUUUUAAUUUUAAUUAAAGGAGUCAUAUGACACGGCUAAAACGAAUAUUAUCGUUUGUUUUGGAUGUAAUGCAAUGUGUAUACACGAUUUGAGGUUCAAAACCGCUGUAUUUUCCACAUAUCGUGCAUGUUUGUAUCUCCUCUUUGCCCCACAUCGUAGAAACGCGCAGAUUUUUUUACAAAGCUCAUCGCUCUGAAAAGCGAGGUGUGCUAUGAUUGGACAGUUAACCAGUGUGUAGUGAUUGGUCGAAUACUGCAAGCGUGUGAUGGAAAUGUAACGUUUCUUACCAUAUUUGUAACAUCAGGUUCCAAAGCAAUUGUACUGACAGGUACGCCCACCUUACUUGCGUAUACAUUGGGGUGGUCUUAGUCAAAUCAUACCACAAACUGACGUAGAUUUGUCAAAUCUUUUGUUCCGACGCUUACAUUUUUGCAAUUUUACGUGUCUAAUACAUGCAUGGGCAACUUAUAACACACCAAAGACACAGAAAAACACGUAUUCGCGCCAUAUGACCCCUUUAAUGUUUAACUCAAAUGGAAAACAGUACUACUCAACUCUCAACUCAACUUUAUUUAUAUAGCGCUUUUUACAAUUUUCAUUGUUACAAAGUAGCUGUACAUGAGACAUAUUGACUAUAAGCAAAACAAUUAAAGUUGUACCUGUAAAAACAAGAAAAAGGUGAAAACACAGAAGACAGACAUACCCACAUACAAAACACUCCACACACAAUAUGCACACGUACUAACACACAUAGACACACACACGGACGUGCAGACACACGGACACACACGCACGCACAGUGAAAGCACACGUUUAAGAUAAAGGAGAGAGAAGCACAGGUCAAAUAUUAAACAGACUAUAAAUUCCUAUAUGCAAUAUUAAGUAAAACUUCAAAAUUCUAAAGCAGCCCCCCCGGCCAGGCAAAUAGUGCAAACGGUGGCGAGGAACCCAAAACUCCAAUUGAGAAAAAAAAACCUCAGGAGAACCCAGGCCCAACCAGGGGAUUCCAGUUCCCCUCUGACAAAAGCUGCUGCCUCUGCACAAGCUCGACAGUGCUUGCACAACAAGGCUAAAUGAAAAUAAAUAAACUUACUAAUGAGGUAAACUAUAGU